UCUAAAAUGGCAGAUAAAUGCAUAGGAUUUAAACUCCUACUAAGAAGAUCUUCUUCUUUUAGAA
This 64-nucleotide transfer RNA is filed under the name Gramastacus insolitus. RNAcentral describes it as "tRNA-Leu". Lineage: Eukaryota; Metazoa; Arthropoda; Malacostraca; Decapoda; Parastacidae. The record is from RNAcentral.